Transfer RNA from Slackia heliotrinireducens DSM 20476, 72 nucleotides. It matches the Rfam family "tRNA". Rfam says of the family: Transfer RNA (tRNA) molecules are approximately 80 nucleotides in length. The record is from Rfam. Lineage: Bacteria; Bacillati; Actinomycetota; Coriobacteriia; Eggerthellales; Eggerthellaceae.
GGGCGGUUAGCUCAGGGGGAGAGCACUACCUUGACACGGUAGGGGUCACAAGUUCAAAUCUUGUAUCGCCCA